UUGAUGCUUACCCUACUAAAGCAUCCGCCCGAGAACUACGAGCACAAACGCUUAAAACUCUAAGGACUUGGCGGUGCCCCAAACCCACCUAGAGGAGCCUGUUCUGUAAUCGACAACCCACGAUGCACCCGACCACUUCUUGCCAAAACAGCCUACAUACCGCCGUCGCCAGCUCACCUCCCCUGAGAGCACAACAGUGAGCCCAAUCGCCCUAACCCCGCUAAUAAGACAGGUCAAGGUAUAGCCCAUGAAGUGGGAGAAAUGGGCUACAUUUUCUAGCUUAGAAAACCCCUUCACACGAAGGGGAGUAUGAAACAACUCCCAGAAGGCGGAUUUAGCAGUAAAGUGGGAUAAUAAAGCCCCCUUUAAACUGGCUCUGAGGCACGUACAUACCGCCCGUCACCCUCCUCACAAGCUUUAACCCCCAAUAAAUAAUAACCCCACCUGCCAAAGAUGAGGUAAGUCGUAACAAGGUAAGUGUACCAGAAGGU
This 491-nucleotide ribosomal RNA is filed under the name Ducula melanochroa. RNAcentral's name for it is "partial 12S ribosomal RNA". It matches the Rfam family "Bacterial small subunit ribosomal RNA", at positions 846 to 1513 of the family's 1533-position model. Lineage: Eukaryota; Metazoa; Chordata; Aves; Columbiformes; Columbidae. The record is from RNAcentral.